AGACGAACGCUGGCGGCGUGCUUAACACAUGCAAGUCGAACGGUGAUGACCAGCUUGCUGGUCUGAUCAGUGGCGAACGGGUGAGUAACACGUGAGCAACCUGCCCUUCACUCUGGGAUAACCACGGGAAACGGUGGCUAAUACCGGAUAUGAGACGUACACGCAUGUGUCGCGUCUGGAAAGAUUUAUCGGUGAGGGAUGGGCUCGCGGCCUAUCAGCUUGUUGGUGGGGUAGUGGCCCACCAAGGCGACGACGGGUAGCCGGCCUGAGAGGGCGACCGGCCACACUGGGACUGAGACACGGCCCAGACUCCUACGGGAGGCAGCAGUGGGGAAUAUUGCACAAUGGGCGCAAGCCUGAUGCAGCGACGCCGCGUGAGGGAUGACGGCCUUCGGGUUGUAAACCUCUUUCAGCAGGGAAGAAGCGCAAGUGACGGUACCUGCAGAAGAAGCGCCGGCUAACUACGUGCCAGCAGCCGCGGUAAUACGUAGGGCGCAAGCGUUGUCCGGAAUUAUUGGGCGUAAAGAGCUCGUAGGCGGUUUGUCGCGUCUGCUGUGAAAACCUAAGGCUCAACCUUGGGCUUGCAGUGGGUACGGGCAGACUAGAGUGCGGUAGGGGUGACUGGAAUUCCUGGUGUAGCGGUGGAAUGCGCAGAUAUCAGGAGGAACACCGAUGGCGAAGGCAGGUCACUGGGCCGCAACUGACGCUGAGGAGCGAAAGCAUGGGGAGCGAACAGGAUUAGAUACCCUGGUAGUCCAUGCCGUAAACGUUGGGCACUAGGUGUGGGGCUCAUUCCACGAGUUCCGUGCCGCAGCAAACGCAUUAAGUGCCCCGCCUGGGGAGUACGGCCGCAAGGCUAAAACUCAAAGAAAUUGACGGGGGCCCGCACAAGCGGCGGAGCAUGCGGAUUAAUUCGAUGCAACGCGAAGAACCUUACCAAGGCUUGACAUACACCGGAAAAGUGCAGAGAUGUGCUCCCCGCAAGGUCGGUGUACAGGUGGUGCAUGGUUGUCGUCAGCUCGUGUCGUGAGAUGUUGGGUUAAGUCCCGCAACGAGCGCAACCCUCGUCCCAUGUUGCCAGCGGGUUAUGCCGGGGACUCAUGGGAGACUGCCGGGGUCAACUCGGAGGAAGGUGGGGAUGACGUCAAAUCAUCAUGCCCCUUAUGUCUUGGGCUUCACGCAUGCUACAAUGGCCGGUACAAAGGGCUGCGAUACCGCGAGGUGGAGCGAAUCCCAAAAAGCCGGUCUCAGUUCGGAUUGGGGUCUGCAACUCGACCCCAUGAAGUCGGAGUCG
This 1294-nucleotide ribosomal RNA is filed under the name Cellulomonas sp. Ellin161. RNAcentral describes it as "bacterial SSU rRNA". It matches the Rfam family "Bacterial small subunit ribosomal RNA", at positions 26 to 1334 of the family's 1533-position model. Lineage: Bacteria; Bacillati; Actinomycetota; Actinomycetes; Micrococcales; Cellulomonadaceae. The record is from RNAcentral.